Molecule: ribosomal RNA, 474 nt
Filed under: Proteocatella sp. canine oral taxon 032
Lineage: Bacteria; Bacillati; Bacillota; Clostridia; Peptostreptococcales; Filifactoraceae
Description: bacterial SSU rRNA
Rfam family: Bacterial small subunit ribosomal RNA
Source: RNAcentral
GAGUUUGAUUCUGGCUCAGGAUGAACGCUGGCGGCGUGCUUAACACAUGCAAGUCGAGCGGAGUUUACAAUGGAAAGAUCUUCGGAAAUGGAAGCUGUAAACUUAGCGGCGGACGGGUGCGUAACGCGUGGGUAAUCUGCCCCUAUCAUCGGGAUAACACAUCGAAAGAUGUGCUAAUACCGAAUAACAUACUUUUUUGGCAUCAAGAGAGUGUCAAAGCGAAAGCGGAUAGGGAUGAGCCUGCGUCUGAUUAGCUAGUUGGUGGGGUAAAGGCCUACCAAGGCGACGAUCAGUAGCCGACCUGAGAGGGUGAUCGGCCACACUGGAACUGAGACACGGUCCAGACUCCUACGGGAGGCAGCAGUGGGGAAUAUUGCACCAAUGGGCGCAAGCCUGAUGCAGCAACGCCGCGUGAGCGAAGAAGGUCUUCGGAUCGUAAAGCUCUGUCGCAUGGGAAGAUAAUGACGNUNCCAU